GAUGAACGCUGGCGGCGUGCCUAAUGCAUGCAAGUCGAGCGAACGGACGAGAAGCUUGCUUCUCUGAUGUUAGCGGCGGACGGGUGAGUAACACGUGGAUAACCUACCUAUAAGACUGGGAUAACUUCGGGAAACCGUGGCUAAUACCGGAUAAUAUUUUGAACCGCAUGGUUCAAAAGUGAAAGACGGUCUUGCUGUCACUUAUAGAUGGAUCCGCGCUGCAUUAGCUAGUUGGUAAGGUAACGGCUUACCAAGGCAACGAUGCAUAGCCGACCUGAGAGGGUGAUCGGCCACACUGGAACUGAGACACGGUCCAGACUCCUACGGGAGGCAGCAGUAGGGAAUCUUCCGCAAUGGGCGAAAGCCUGACGGAGCAACGCCGCGUGAGUGAUGAAGGUCUUCGGAUCGUAAAACUCUGUUAUUAGGGAAGAGCAUAUGUGUAAGUAACUGUGCACAUCUUGACGGUACCUAAUCAGAAAGCCACGGCUAACUACGUG
This 497-nucleotide ribosomal RNA is filed under the name uncultured bacterium. RNAcentral's name for it is "partial 16S ribosomal RNA". It matches the Rfam family "Bacterial small subunit ribosomal RNA", at positions 28 to 507 of the family's 1533-position model. The record is from RNAcentral.